CUCAGACUGACAUGCAUGAAUAGAUACCCUGGGGCACAAAUACACAUUGAUGCAAAUUUAAAUAUGCUCACACGUGCAUAGAUAUGCACAAUGAUACAAAUGCAUAUAUAUACACACAAAUGCACAGAUAUUCACACUGACAUAUAUGCAAAUGUGCUCACAUACAGAUCCACUUACCCAUGUGCACACAACACACUCAAGUUCCUGCUGUAAACACUUUAACAGUUUGUCCCUGUGAGUUUCCCUGAAGCCCUGCCUUACACUGUUCUGGUGCUGUAUCAAAGUCGCUGGAAAAGGCUCCAUGGCACCCAUGAUAACAUGAUAUCUUUUUUUACACCAUAAAUGCAAUCAGAUUUGUCAUUGGAUCAAGAACCUAAUUAUAUACAUGUUAAUUAAAUCAUUGAAUAUUCUGUUCUUUCAAAAAAAAAAAAAAAAAUCCAGGCCAUUUUUAAAAUUAUCUGCAGAAUUUGAUUGCACAACCUCUUUGGAUAGACAAUUUCACAUUACUAUUAAAAAAAAUAACCUUUCCUUUGUUGUAAGCAAAAAUGUCUUUCUUCCAGUCUCAGAUUUUAUUUUGCUAUUUGAAUGCAAUGUUUAUGAAAUGGCUUAUAAAAUAAUAUAGUGCUAAAUGAGCUUAAUGGAGCACCCUGGUCAUAGGAAGACAGACAUCUAUGCCCUCACUGCUCUGGACUCGCCGCAGUUGCCCUGCUUACGCUGGGUGAGAUCUGAUGAUCUCAUCGAGAAGCAUUAGAAGGUCUGGCAGAAUGUGCAUCAAAUCACCACACUGUGUCAAUCAGAAACUCCUCAUAAAGAUGCACGGACUCAAUGCAUCACUAUGGGAAGAUUUCAGUAUCACUAUACAAACCGUAAAGCACUUAACGUAUGUCUUGCAAUAUUUGCAGGACCUCAACCAGGUGUGAAUGACUAGAGGUAGUCAUAGGCAGCAAUAUGAACAGUGCAUAUUCUCUGAAAAGGCAG
Molecule: non-coding RNA, 978 nt
Organism: Pelobates cultripes (western spadefoot toad)
Lineage: Eukaryota; Metazoa; Chordata; Amphibia; Anura; Pelobatidae
Source: the annotation of a GenBank genome assembly